This 564-nucleotide ribosomal RNA is filed under the name Triticum aestivum (bread wheat). RNAcentral describes it as "partial small subunit ribosomal RNA". The record is from RNAcentral. Lineage: Eukaryota; Viridiplantae; Streptophyta; Magnoliopsida; Poales; Poaceae.
GUUCAAUUGCUUGGUGCCUUUUGAUUCGUCGAUCAUUGAGAAGUUUUCACUCGGAGCAAGAAAGGUAUGUGACGCAGUCAUCCCUUUGACAUGGCCACUGAGGAAGCUUAAAUUAUGCAAAACUACUGCUCUUGUGAUGUUGUUUUUCUCUGCCUAGUAUUGAAAGUGGUCUUAUUUUAGUAUAUGAGAAAACUGAUGCUCUUAAUUAUGUACGUAGAUGUUACAAUAGAAAUGGUAUUAUCUUUGUAUUCACUCCUGAGCUUCCUAGGCUCCUAGCUAUUGGUUCUUUGCAGCCAUAAUAGAGAUGGUAUUAUUAUUGCUUUAUUUAUAAUUAUUAUCAUUGUAUUAAUUUUGUUUUCAUUAGGUAUAAUAGUGAUGGAUUGUAGGAGAAAUAAAAUUAUUAAGAUUAUCUCGCAAGAACAAGAAGAAGACGAUGAACUAUUUUUCCUUUUGGUUCCCGCUUUAUAUGUUUCCCUUUAUGAGGAAAAGCAUCCAGUUCACACAUCAUCUUUAUCCGGGGCUGCAAAGGUUAAGGAAAUAUUAGAAGGCCACGAGAGUUGGUCU